This 328-nucleotide ribosomal RNA is filed under the name Enterococcus faecalis. RNAcentral describes it as "bacterial SSU rRNA". It matches the Rfam family "Bacterial small subunit ribosomal RNA", at positions 18 to 342 of the family's 1533-position model. The record is from RNAcentral. Lineage: Bacteria; Bacillati; Bacillota; Bacilli; Lactobacillales; Enterococcaceae.
CCUGGCUCAGAUUGAACGCUGGCGGCAGGCCUAACACAUGCAAGUCGAACGGUAACAGGAAGCAGCUUGCUGCUUCGCUGACGAGUGGCGGACGGGUGAGUAAUGUCUGGGAAACUGCCUGAUGGAGGGGGAUAACUACUGGAAACGGUAGCUAAUACCGCAUAACGUCGCAAGACCAAAGAGGGGGACCUUCGGGCCUCUUGCCAUCGGAUGUGCCCAGAUGGGAUUAGCUAGUAGGUGGGGUAACGGCUCACCUAGGCGACGAUCCCUAGCUGGUCUGAGAGGAUGACCAGCCACACUGGAACUGAGACACGGUCCAGACUCCUAC